UUAAAGUUUCACACAAAUACAA
RNAcentral lists this small RNA (22 nucleotides) under Arabidopsis thaliana (thale cress). RNAcentral describes it as "AGO1_0914". The record is from RNAcentral. Lineage: Eukaryota; Viridiplantae; Streptophyta; Magnoliopsida; Brassicales; Brassicaceae.